ACUUCAGAGUUUGGAAAACGGAGCAGCCCCUUCCUUCAUACCAUCACCUAGUCCCUAGAUUCUUUCUUCCAUUACCUGGAGCAAAGAACCACCUUGCUUACGUUUCCUUUUCUAUGAUGGCAAGAGGAAAAGGAGCAGGUUAAUCCAGACAUCCAGGCCCCUGAUGGCCAGUCAGCAGGGAAGACAGGAGGCAUGGUGGGGGAAAGCAAACAUUUACAAACACUGGGUAAGUGAAUAAAAAUACUACAGCCAAGAGGAGGAUAAAAUAACCCCGGCCUGCAACACCAACAACACCACAACUGGUGAGAAUGGCUCCCUGUGUAGUGUGCUCUUGACCCAGGUGACCACUUCUUUCUCAGCAUUGAGUCAUUUCCCAGUAAUGGUUUGUAGUGACAAUAAAGGAAAGGCAUUCAGUGCACAAGUCUUGCUAAGUCAA
Long non-coding RNA from Rattus norvegicus (Norway rat), 436 nucleotides. RefSeq lists it as uncharacterized. Lineage: Eukaryota; Metazoa; Chordata; Mammalia; Rodentia; Muridae. The record is from RefSeq and is a predicted model, not a curated record.